RNAcentral lists this ribosomal RNA (516 nucleotides) under uncultured bacterium. RNAcentral's name for it is "bacterial SSU rRNA". It matches the Rfam family "Bacterial small subunit ribosomal RNA", at positions 28 to 526 of the family's 1533-position model. The record is from RNAcentral.
GACGAACGCUGGCGGCGUGCCUAACACAUGCAAGUCGAACGGGUUCUUUUAAGAAGCUUGCUUCUUGGCUGAACUAGUGGCGGACGGGUGAGUAACACGUGAGCAAUCUGCCCAUAAGAGGGGGAUAACGUCUGGAAACGGACGCUAAUACCGCAUAACAUGCAAGGCCGGCAUCGGCAAUGCAUCAAAGGAGAAAUCCGCUUAUGGAUGAGCUCGCGCCCGAUUAGAUAGUUGGCGGGGUAACGGCCCACCAAGUCGACGAUCGGUAGCCGGACUGAGAGGUUGAACGGCCACAUUGGGACUGAGACACGGCCCAGACUCCUACGGGAGGCAGCAGUGGGGAAUAUUGGGCAAUGGGGGAAACCCUGACCCAGCAACGCCGCGUGAAGGAAGAAGGUAUUCGUAUCGUAAACUUCUGGCAUAGAGGAAGAACGACUAGGGUAGGGAAUGACCCUGGAGUGACGGUACUCUAAGAGGAAGCCACGGCUAACUACGUGCCAGCAGCCGCGGUAAAAC